AACACAUCCCUUUCCUGCAAUUCUGACUUAAGCAGACAGUUCUACUGUGCCUGUGCAGCUCUUGUCCGCUGACCCACAGCAUCCACACAAAAUCCCCACCCAGUCAGACAUCCAAAGCAAGUCCUAAAGAAAAAUAUGCAUGUCCAAGAGAAAACAUGCACCAAGAGAGAAGAGCCACCUUUUCAGAACAACUAAUUAAAUGCUUUUGAACGGCGGCCGCACCAGGCGAGUGGGGCUGCACUGCUCUGCCUGUCCCAGUCAUUCCACAGCACCGCCUGAAAUCAUUCCUCCAUGCAACGUGGGAACAAACGCUCUGCUGGGAGGUGGGUUGGGGUGAUGCAGCCCUGCUGCGGAGCAGGUGCUCUGGUGCAGACACGCACUGAACUCUGUGAAGAGCCCUAUCCAAAUCAUACAAAUCGUUUUUCCACACUCAUGAGAAAAGUUUCAUGCUUAAAAUUCAGUAAUGUAGUUCAAGCACGUUCUACUCCACCUUCAAAGGAGCAUCUCAAGAAGUCAUCUAGAAAUCUCAAUGCUACUUGUAUUUCCAAGCUGGCUGGACCAGUGGUUAAACUAAGACAUUUUAUCAGACUAAGGAGAGUUCUACCAAUGCUUUGCAGCCCAACUAGAAACACAGGGCAACAUCUCCAGACCCCACAGAGAGGAAGGUGCAGGACCAGCUGAGUGUCACAGGCACAACAUCUGCUCAGGUGCCUCACAACAUUGUUUUUAUUUUGUUACUCUAAAGUCAGUCCCACUGUUUCCACCCAGAAAAAAGAGA
Gallus gallus (chicken) is the source of this 778-nucleotide long non-coding RNA. RefSeq lists it as uncharacterized. The record is from RefSeq and is a predicted model, not a curated record. Lineage: Eukaryota; Metazoa; Chordata; Aves; Galliformes; Phasianidae. The transcript is spliced from 2 exons.